This 253-nucleotide ribosomal RNA is filed under the name uncultured bacterium. Its description in RNAcentral is "partial 16S ribosomal RNA". It matches the Rfam family "Bacterial small subunit ribosomal RNA", at positions 524 to 776 of the family's 1533-position model. The record is from RNAcentral.
UACGAAGGGGGCUAGCGUCGCUCGGAAUGACUGGGCGUAAAGGGCGCGUAGGCGGUCUUGCAAGUCCUGUGUGAAAUCCCUCGGCUCAACUGAGGAACUGCACAGGAAACUGCUUGGCUUGAGUUCGGGAGAGGGAAGCGGAAUUCCGGGUGUAGCGGUGAAAUGCGUAGAUAUCCGGAGGAACACCGAUGGCGAAGGCAGGUCUCUGGGCUGACACUGACGCUCAUGCACGAAAGCGUGGGGAGCAAACAGG